UGGGGAAUAUUGCACAAUGGAGGGAACUCUGAUGCAGCGACGCCGCGUGAACGAAGAAGGCUUUCGAGUCGUAAAGUUCUUUUAUAUGGGAAGAUAAUGACGGUACCAUAAGAAAAAGCCCCGGCUAACUACGUGCCAGCAGCCGCGGUAAUACGUAGGGGGCUAGCGUUGUCCGGAAUCACUGGGCGCAAAGGGUUCGCAGGCGGAAAUGCAAGUCAGGUGUAAAAGGCAGUAGCUUAACUACUGUAAGCAUUUGAAACUGCAUAUCUUGAGAAGAGUAGAGGUAAGUGGAAUUUUUAGUGUAGCGGUGAAAUGCGUAGAUAUUAAAAAGAAUACCGGUGGCGAAGGCGGCUUACUGGGCUCAUUCUGACGCUGAGGAACGAAAGCGUGGGUAGCAAACAGG
Molecule: ribosomal RNA, 403 nt
Filed under: bacterium
Lineage: Bacteria
Description: partial 16S ribosomal RNA
Rfam family: Bacterial small subunit ribosomal RNA
Source: RNAcentral